UUGGAGGAUUUGAAUACUUCAACUUGCAGACUUGAAUAAUUUGAAGACUUUAACAAGCAUACUUGGAGAAUUUGAAGUCUUUAAUU
This 86-nucleotide microRNA precursor is filed under the name Solanum tuberosum (potato). RNAcentral describes it as "MIR8024 microRNA precursor family". It matches the Rfam family "MIR8024 microRNA precursor family". The record is from Rfam by way of RNAcentral. Lineage: Eukaryota; Viridiplantae; Streptophyta; Magnoliopsida; Solanales; Solanaceae.